ACAGAGGGGGCAAGCGUUGUUCGGAAUUACUGGGCGUAAAGGGCGCGUAGGCGGCCUGCUAAGUCGAACGUGAAAUCCCCGGGCUCAACCCGGGAACUGCGUCCGAUACUGGUCGGCUUGAAUCCGGGAGAGGGAUGCGGAAUUCCAGGUGUAGCGGUGAAAUGCGUAGAUAUCUGGAGGAACACCGGUGGCGAAGGCGGCAUCCUGGACCGGCAUUGACGCUGAGGCGCGAAAGCUAGGGUAGCAAACGGGAUUAGAUACCCCGGUAGUCCUAGCCCUAAACGAUGAAUGCUUGGUGUGGCGGGUAUCGAUCCCUGCCGUGCCGAAGCUAACGCAUUAAGCAUUCCGCCUGGGGAGUACGGUCGCAAGGCUG
RNAcentral lists this ribosomal RNA (373 nucleotides) under uncultured bacterium. RNAcentral's name for it is "bacterial SSU rRNA". It matches the Rfam family "Bacterial small subunit ribosomal RNA", at positions 525 to 896 of the family's 1533-position model. The record is from RNAcentral.